AAAAGGCAAUAAGCAAAUGCAUGUGGAAAAUAUGCAAGUCAGUUCUCCAGGCCAGGGUCCCGGGCAUGUUCUUAGAACAGAAACUCUGCUCUCAGCUUUAUUUUGCUGCAGGAGCUUGGGGCAGGUCAGUGGUUCAGGGUCUGCGUGUUGAAGCAAGGUUGGAAAUAAAGAAGUUCCUGAUGUGCCUCACCCUCCACAAACAGAGUGUGUCCCUGAUACUGGAUACCACCCGGCUUCUGGAGACCCUUGGGCUGAGAGUCUGAGGCUCUGACGUUGCAAUUCAGACCCCAAAGCGCAGCGGAUUUUCAUCUGGGUUUCAGAGGAGGCAUUAUCUUCAUUUUGUUUCUGGACACUGGAGCUGAACCCCCUCCCCCAGAGAUAAGAACAAACAGAAUGUGUUCUGUCUUCCCAAAGAUGCUACAUCAGCAUGUAUUUUCCACUUAAGGCUUUUAAGCAUUUGACUUACACAUUUAUGAACACCCCCGGUGGACCGUUAGGGUUUGGUUUAAUCCCCAAGAAAACUGGCAUUAAAAUAGACCUUUUCCCGGCAAUAAUAAUCUCAUUUACGAUAAAUUAUUCUAUUCUCAGUACCUUUGAGACACAUGAGAGCUUUUAUGUAAUAAAGAAGCCAUUUAUUUCCGAAUA
Neofelis nebulosa (Clouded leopard) is the source of this 645-nucleotide long non-coding RNA. RefSeq lists it as uncharacterized. The transcript has 2 exons. Lineage: Eukaryota; Metazoa; Chordata; Mammalia; Carnivora; Felidae. The record is from RefSeq and is a predicted model, not a curated record.